AAUAAGUUAUCAUCUAGGAUGAAAGAUGAUGUGGCAAGCAAAUAAAUGAAAAAAGAGAAUGAAAACAUGUCUUGUAUAUCUCAUGUUUUCUACACAACAUCCAAGAUAUCAUGUGAGAUAAGUAGUAUUAAAUUGAAGUAUGGAAUAAUGAUGUUUGCAUUGGAAUACUAGUGUUCAGUACUAGUUUCUUGAUAAUAGGAAAAAAACUUGGAUAUUAGGGAAGGACCUAAUAUCAAUUAAAUAGGUAGAAGUGAGGCUUCGAACCCAGACUGUCUAGCCCACCAUCUUGUGGAGCUAGCCAGAACACCUCCAGG
RNAcentral lists this long non-coding RNA (314 nucleotides) under Oryza brachyantha (malo sina). RNAcentral describes it as "long non-coding RNA (OBRA_LNC001229)". The record is from RNAcentral. Lineage: Eukaryota; Viridiplantae; Streptophyta; Magnoliopsida; Poales; Poaceae.